This 439-nucleotide ribosomal RNA is filed under the name uncultured bacterium. RNAcentral describes it as "partial 16S ribosomal RNA". It matches the Rfam family "Bacterial small subunit ribosomal RNA", at positions 338 to 794 of the family's 1533-position model. The record is from RNAcentral.
CCUACGGGAGGCAGCAGUGGGGAAUAUUGCACAAUGGGGGAAACCCUGAUGCAGCGACGCCGCGUGAGUGAAGAAGUAUUUCGGUAUGUAAAGCUCUAUCAGCAGGGAAGAAAAUGACGGUACCUGAUUAAGAAGCCCCGGCUAACUACGUGCCAGCAGCCGCGGUAAUACGUAGGGGGCAAGCGUUAUCCGGAUUGACUGGGUGUAAAGGGAGCGUAGACGGCAGAACAAGUCUGGAGUGAAAUGCCGGGGCUUAACCCCGGAACUGCUUUGGAAACUGUGAAGCUAGAGUGGAGGAGAGGUAAGUGGAAUGCCUAGUGUAGCGGUGAAAUGCGUAGAUAUUAGGAGGAACACCAGUGGCGAAGGCGGCUUACUGGACUGUAACUGACGUUGAGGCUCGAAAGCGUGGGGAGCAAACAGGAUUAGAUACCCCAGUAGU